AUGAACGCUGGCGGCGUGCCUAAUACAUGCACGUCGAGCGAACGGACGAGUAGCUUGCUUUUCUGAUGUUAGCGGCGGACGGGUGAGUAACACGUGGAUAACCUACCUAUAAGACUGGGAUAACUUCGGGAAACCGGAGCUAAUACCGGAUAAUAUUUUGAACCGCAUGGUUCAAAAGUGAAAGACGGUCUUGCUGUCACUUAUAGAUGGAUCCGCGCUGCAUUAGCUAGUUGGUAAGGUAACGGCUUACCAAGGCAACGAUGCAUAGCCGACCUGAGAGGGUGAUCGGCCACACUGGAACUGAGACACGGUCCAGACUCCUACGGGAGGCAGCAGUAGGGAAUCUUCCGCAAUGGGCGAAAGCCUGACGGAGCAACGCCGCGUGAGUGAUGAAGGUCUUCGGAUCGUAAAACUCUGUUAUUAGGGAAGAACAUAUGUGUAAGUAACUGUGCACAUCUUGACGGUACCUAAUCAGAAAGCCACGGCUAACUACGUG
RNAcentral lists this ribosomal RNA (496 nucleotides) under uncultured bacterium. Its description in RNAcentral is "partial 16S ribosomal RNA". It matches the Rfam family "Bacterial small subunit ribosomal RNA", at positions 29 to 507 of the family's 1533-position model. The record is from RNAcentral.